Molecule: small RNA, 126 nt
Filed under: Marmota monax (woodchuck)
Lineage: Eukaryota; Metazoa; Chordata; Mammalia; Rodentia; Sciuridae
Source: RNAcentral
GCUAGGCACAGUGGUGCAUGCCUGUAAUCCCAGUGGCUCAGGAGGCUGAGGCAGGAGGUUCACAAGUUUGAGGCCAGCCUCAGCAACUUAGCCAGGCCCUAAGCAUCUUAGUGAGACUGGCCUCAA